Molecule: small nucleolar RNA, 85 nt
Organism: Megalops cyprinoides (Indo-Pacific tarpon)
Lineage: Eukaryota; Metazoa; Chordata; Actinopteri; Elopiformes; Megalopidae
Product: small nucleolar RNA SNORD103/SNORD85
Exons: 1
Source: RefSeq, a predicted model, not a curated record
CCUAGCUGUGAUGACAAACUUGCCCUCACUGAGAGCUCUGCUCGUUAAUGAGAACCUCUUUUGUACUCAUCUGAUCUGAGCCAGG